AACGAACGCUGGCGGCAUGCCUAACACAUGCAAGUCGAACGAGACCUUCGGGUCUAGUGGCGCACGGGUGCGUAACGCGUGGGAACCUGCCCUUAGGUUCGGAAUAACUCCCCGAAAGGGGUGCUAAUACCGGAUAAUGUCUUCGGACCAAAGAUUUAUCGCCUUUGGAUGGGCCCGCGUUGGAUUAGCUAGUUGGUAGGGUAAAAGCCUACCAAGGCGACGAUCCAUAGCUGGUCUGAGAGGAUGAUCAGCCACACUGGGACUGAGACACGGCACAGACUCCUACGGGAGGCAGCAGUGGGGAAUAUUGGACAAUGGGCGAAAGCCUGAUCCAGCAAUGCCGCGUGAGUGAUGAAGGCCUUAGGGUUGUAAAGCUCUUUUACCCGGGAUGAUAAUGACAGUACCGGGAGAAUAAGCUCCGGCUAACUCCGUG
This 433-nucleotide ribosomal RNA is filed under the name uncultured bacterium. RNAcentral describes it as "partial 16S ribosomal RNA". It matches the Rfam family "Bacterial small subunit ribosomal RNA", at positions 29 to 507 of the family's 1533-position model. The record is from RNAcentral.